UGGGGAAUAUUGGACAAUGGGGGAAACCCUGAUCCAGCGACGCCGCGUGUGUGAAGAAGGCCUGCGGGUUGUAAAGCACUUUUAGUGGGGACAAAAAGCUACGGAUUAAUACUCUGUGGUCUUGAUUUAACCCAAAGAAAAAGCACCGGCUAACUCUGUGCCAGCAGCCGCGGUAAUACAGAGGGUGCGAGCGUUAAUCGGAAUUACUGGGCGUAAAGCGCGCGUAGACGGUUUUGUAAGUCAGAUGUGAAAUCCCUGGGCUCAACCUGGGAACUGCAUUUGAGACUGCAUGGCUAGAGUAUCGAAGAGGGAAGUGGAAUUUCCGGUGUAGCGGUGAAAUGCGUAGAUAUCGGAAGGAACACCAGUGGCGAAAGCGACUUCCUGGUCGAAUACUGACGUUCAUGUGCGAAAGCGUGGGGAGCAAACAGGAUUAGAUACCCUGGUAGUCCACGCCAUAAACGAUGACAACUAGAUGUUGGGAGGGUCUGCCUCUCGGUGUCGCAGCUAACGCGUUAAGUUGUCCGCCUGGGGAGUACGGCCGCAAGGUG
This 548-nucleotide ribosomal RNA is filed under the name uncultured bacterium. Its description in RNAcentral is "bacterial SSU rRNA". It matches the Rfam family "Bacterial small subunit ribosomal RNA", at positions 355 to 895 of the family's 1533-position model. The record is from RNAcentral.